UACGAAGGGGGCUAGCGUUGCUCGGAAUCACUGGGCGUAAAGCGCACGUAGGCGGCUUGUUAAGUCAGGGGUGAAAUCCUGGAGCUCAACUCCAGAACUGCCUUUGAUACUGGCGAGCUUGAGUUCGGGAGAGGUGAGUGGAACUGCGAGUGUAGAGGUGAAAUUCGUAGAUAUUAGCUAGAACACCAGUGGCGAAGGCGGCCAACUGGUCCGAUACUGACGCUGAGGUGCGAAAGCGUGGGGAGCAAACAGG
RNAcentral lists this ribosomal RNA (253 nucleotides) under uncultured bacterium. RNAcentral describes it as "partial 16S ribosomal RNA". It matches the Rfam family "Bacterial small subunit ribosomal RNA", at positions 524 to 776 of the family's 1533-position model. The record is from RNAcentral.